This 199-nucleotide ribosomal RNA is filed under the name uncultured bacterium. RNAcentral describes it as "partial 16S ribosomal RNA". It matches the Rfam family "Bacterial small subunit ribosomal RNA", at positions 328 to 539 of the family's 1533-position model. The record is from RNAcentral.
ACGCUCGACACCUACGGGGGGCAGCAGUGGGGAAUAUUGCACAAUGGGGGAAACCCUGAUGCAGCGACGCCGCGUGGAGGAAGAAGGUCUUCGGAUUGUAAACUCCUGUUGUUGGGGAAAAAGAGGAUGGUACCCAACAAGGAAGUGACGGCUAACUACGUGCCAGCAGCCGAGGUAAUCUGAGGCGGGCUGGCAAGGC